This 99-nucleotide transfer RNA is filed under the name Kazachstania africana CBS 2517. It matches the Rfam family "tRNA". Rfam says of the family: Transfer RNA (tRNA) molecules are approximately 80 nucleotides in length. Their secondary structure includes four short double-helical elements and three loops (D, anti-codon, and T loops). The record is from Rfam by way of RNAcentral. Lineage: Eukaryota; Fungi; Ascomycota; Saccharomycetes; Saccharomycetales; Saccharomycetaceae.
UCCUUGUUAGCUCAGUUGGUAGAGCGUUCGGCUUUUAAGUAAUUAUAUACUUAAGCAAGGAUUACCGAAAUGUCAGGGGUUCGAGCCCCCUAUGAGGAG